This 484-nucleotide ribosomal RNA is filed under the name uncultured bacterium. Its description in RNAcentral is "partial 16S ribosomal RNA". It matches the Rfam family "Bacterial small subunit ribosomal RNA", at positions 30 to 507 of the family's 1533-position model. The record is from RNAcentral.
AUUGAACGCUGGCGGCAGGCCUAACACAUGCAAGUCGAGCGGUUGAAGGGAGCUUGCUCCUGGAUUCAGCGGCGGACGGGUGGGUAAUGCCUAGGAAUCGGCCUGGUGGGGGGGGAUAACGUCCGGAAACGGGCGCUAAUACGGCAUACGUCCUGGGGGGGAAAGUGGGGGAUCUUCGGACCUCACGCUAUCAGAUGAGCCUAGGUCGGAUUAGCUAGUUGGUGGGGUAAAGGCCUACCAAGGCGACGAUCCGUAACUGGUCUGAGAGGAUGAUCAGUCACACUGGAACUGAGACACGGUCCAGACUCCUACGGGAGGCAGCAGUGGGGAAUAUUGGACAAUGGGCGAAAGCCUGAUCCAGCCAUGCCGCGUGUGUGAAGAAGGUCUUCGGAUUGUAAAGCACUUUAAGUUGGGAGGAAGGGCAGUAAGUUAAUACCUUGCUGUUUUGACGUUACCAACAGAAUAAGCACCGGCUAACUUCGUG